Molecule: unclassified non-coding RNA, 989 nt
Filed under: Hevea brasiliensis (rubber tree)
Lineage: Eukaryota; Viridiplantae; Streptophyta; Magnoliopsida; Malpighiales; Euphorbiaceae
Source: RNAcentral
GGAAAUUAGGAAAGAUCAUAAUCUCCUCUGCCUCCUCACUUAGUGUAAAUAAGGGACCGGAUACGGGACUUGGUAGCCAUUACCAUAAUAUGCUGUAUGCGUUGGCGAGAUGGCGUACGGUGUGGAACCCAGAAUUGGGGGAGCAGGAUGGCCUUCGACUGGGUACACAUACUGCCUGUCGUAUGAAUAUGGGUGCCUCUCUGGUGUUCGGUAGAAGCUCUUCUCGGGGAAUGCAGUCACACGAGGGGCAUAUGUGCUGCCAUUAGCACGGGGCCUCUUGGAUUGCGGCUUUGCAGUUUCUGCAGCCCUCCUCUUGUCGGCUUUGGCCUUCUCAAGCUGGAGGAUCCGUUUCUGAAGUGGAUCGGUAGGAUAUUCAUCCUCGAGCUUGUGAUCUUCAAUGCAUUUGAUGACAGCUUUAAGAGCAGACAUUUCGCGCUCAUUCAUCUCAUUCUGAGCACCAGGAGAUGUAUUCCCAGCUUUGACCUGUGACACUUUCCUUGCCUCUUUCAAAAAUGCCUUCAGUAAUGGUACCGGGGCGAAUUGCUCUGUCAAUUCGAAGGAAUAUGCCAGAUUAACAGCCUCAAUUUGCCUUCCGCUACUCACCAGUGCACCAAUUAUACCUGGCAUUUUCGGUGACAACCCAAGUGAGCAGCAUAGAUCAGCCGUUUGACGCCUCCUGGAAACAGCGGGUACCAGUUUGCAUAUCUCAUCUUGAUCGAACUCGGAAGCAACAGCAAAAGUGGCAAGAAGUUGCAGAAAUGCAUGCGCUUCCAAUGAGUUACCACUACUGGCAUCAAUGCCAAGAUCACCUAGCUUUGGCUUCCACUCAUUAGCUAUCGCUCUCGCUUGCUUUUUAAUCUCUGAGGUAAGCAUUUGGUUAUCAGAAGAAAACCCUGAUACACCAUCUGAAAAUACUUGACUAAGACACUCCAUUAACAUGAGACAGGUUCUGCGCACACCCAAAAGGUUUGCAUCCUUCUUGCCAUCUA